This 343-nucleotide ribosomal RNA is filed under the name uncultured bacterium. RNAcentral's name for it is "partial 16S ribosomal RNA". It matches the Rfam family "Bacterial small subunit ribosomal RNA", at positions 338 to 698 of the family's 1533-position model. The record is from RNAcentral.
CCUACGGGUGGCAGCAGUAGGGAAGAUUGCUCAAUGGGGGAAACCCUGAAGCAGCAACGCCGCGUGGAGGAUGAAGGUUUUCGGAUUGUAAACUCCUUGUGUUAGAGAAGAGAAUGACGGUAUCUAACGAAUAAGCACCGGCUAACUCCGUGCCAGCAGCCGCGGUAAUACGGAGGGUGCAAGCGUUACUCGGAAUCACUGGGCGGAAAGAGCGCGUAGGCGGGAUAGCAAGUCAGAUGUGAAAUCCUCUGGCUUAACCAUAGAACUGCAUUUGAAACUGUUAUUCUAGUGUCUGGUAGAGGUAGGUGGCAUUCUUGUUGUAGGGGUCACUUCCGUAUCGAUC